CUCAAAGGAAUUGACGGGGGCCCGCACAAGCAGCGGAGCGUGUGGUUUAAUUCGAUGCUACGCGAAGAACCUUACCCGGGUUUGACAUACAGGUAGUAGGGAACUGAAAGGGGACCGACCCUUCGGGGAGCCUGAACAGGUGCUGCAUGGCUGUCGUCAGCUCGUGUCGUGAGAUGUCCGGUUAAGUCCGGUAACGAGCGCAACCCUUGCCGUAUGUUACAAGUGUCAUACGGGACUGCCGGUAUCAAGCCGGAGGAAGGUGGGGAUGACGUCAAGUCAGCAUGGCCUUUAUAUCCGGGGCUACACACACGCUACAAUGGUCAGUACAAUAGGUUGCAAAGCCGCGAGGUGGAGCCAAUCCAUAAAGCUGGCCUCAGUUCAGAUUGCAGGCUGCAACUCGCCUGCAUGAAGUUGGAGUUGCUAGUAACCGCGCGUCAGCCAUAGUGCGGUGAAUACGUUCCCGGGCCUUGUACACACCGCCCGUCACGUCAUGGGAGCUG
RNAcentral lists this ribosomal RNA (500 nucleotides) under uncultured bacterium. RNAcentral describes it as "bacterial SSU rRNA". It matches the Rfam family "Bacterial small subunit ribosomal RNA", at positions 900 to 1413 of the family's 1533-position model. The record is from RNAcentral.